Unclassified non-coding RNA from Dipodomys ordii (Ord's kangaroo rat), 328 nucleotides. Its record names the gene 7SK. It matches the Rfam family "7SK RNA". Rfam says of the family: 7SK was discovered as an abundant small nuclear RNA in the mid-70s but a possible function has only recently been suggested. Two independent studies have found that 7SK RNA binds the CDK9/cyclin T complex (known as elongation factor P-TEFb). The record is from Ensembl. Lineage: Eukaryota; Metazoa; Chordata; Mammalia; Rodentia; Heteromyidae.
GGAUGUGAGGGCGAUCUGGCUGCGACAUCUGUCACCCCAUUGAUCGCCAGGGUUGAUUCGGCUGAUCUGGCUGGCUAGGCGGGUGUCCCCUUCCUCCCUCACCACUCCAUGUGCGUCCCUCCUGAAGCUGCAUGCUUGGUCCAAGAGGACAACCAUCCCCGAUAGAGGAGGACCAGUCUUCAGUCAAGGGUAUACGAGUAGCUGCACUCCCCUGCUAGAACCUCCAAGCAAGCUCUCAAAAAUUCAUAUGGAACAAUAAAAGACCCCGAAUAGCAAAAAUGAUCCUUCACAGAAAGAACAGUACUGGAGGAGUAUCAAUACUAAAUUU